AUACUCGUGCUCUAAUCAGCGAGGCAAGGGUGUCGGUUUGUAACUUCCUGUUUGGACCGGACACAAUCUGUGCACCUGAAGCGAAGACAUCUGUGGUGUGAAGCUGUUGGAAACAACUAUUAUAUGAAAGACACAGAGGAUGGCUGAAGGUGCGAGGCGAAGGAGAAAGCUGAGGCCAUACAGUGUUCACUUCAACAGAAAGACCAGAAUGGGCUCAAGGGCAGGUUCAUCACUGAUCUUAAAGGUGACUCUGAAGAAGGACCGGUUACUAUUGGAUGAUCAGGACUGUGUUGAGUAGAUGUCACCAGUCAAAGAGCAUGUGUUGAAUGAGGAGCAGAGCUUUUUUGUCCCCGCUGAAGGAGUUAAGGAGAUGAGAUCAACAUGACAGAUUCUGAUGACGCUGAUCCUGAAGAAAGUGAUUCUGAUGAUGAGGCUCUUGCUGGAGCUGCGGGAGACUCCAGUAAUGCUGGUGUUCAGAAGAUGCCCAUUGAGAGCACCACUGAAGUUCCUGAAGAGAGUGAGAGUGAGGCAGAAACUGAAAACACACGGAGAGGGCAGAAAGUGUCCUGGUCAAACACUGAAGUUACAGCUGUAAUCAAACAUUUUAAGGACCACAGAGCUAAAGGAAAACUGGCCACAAUGACUGAAAACCAGCAGUGUAAAACUGCUGAGGAUCCUGUUUUGGUGAGAUGCAGUGCACAGAACAUACAGGAUUUUGUAAGAAAUCGAGGAAUUAUCUUAAAAAGGAAAACCCAAAGCAAGUGAUGUUACAGUACAUCCUGUGUCUUGAUGUCAUUCUAUUAUCAUGAGCACUUUGGUUGUUGUUUUUAUUUCCAAUAGUGCAAAACUGUUAUAGCAGCAGUUCAUACAAAUAUCUCCAUGUAGAAAACAAGUUCAAUUGUUAGUUUGUCAAAAACUUUUCAUUCUGGAAGUGAACGAUUCCUUUACAGAUAAAUCAGUUUCUCUACACAUCUGCAGCAUCUAUUGUGUGCUCCGAGUUAAUCUCAUGUUUACUGUGUGUUUAGUAGGGAUGCACUGAUCAUGAUUUUUCAUAGACGAUACCGAUAUUUAUUUAUUUUUACAAGCAAACUGGUCGAUUCCGAUACAGAUUUCCGAUUAUUAUUAUUAUUAUUAUAUUAUUUUUUUUAAGCAACAAACAAGAAAGGAAAGUAUGCAUAAACAAGAUGUUUAUUUGGUAUUUAAUAGGCCAAACUGGCUUUUGGCUAUUGAAAACAAUAACUGUAACCAUCUGAAAUUAAUGGCAAUAACUGCACAGUAAGUAGCCUACAUUCAAUACAAACAUAGAUGCUACAGACAUCAGCAUUUAGCUUUUGUUUUUGGAUUGGGUUGAAACUACAUAGAACUGGCCUUAAAUUAAAAGAUUAACUGUAACCAUGUGAAAUUAAAGGCAAUAACUGCAUAGUUCUACAGUCCAAACAACACAAUCAACACACAUUCAAUAAGAGGUUUCUUAAUCAGCAUAUAGUAUUUUAGUUUUAAAAUUUGGUUUUAAAUUUAAAACAAGGUCUUUACCAAUGAGACUAAAUAAAAGUAUGCUAUAUAAAUAUUAUUCCAAAAUGUUAAAAUCAAAUAAUGUUGGUGCGAAUAAAGCACAGAUGCAAAGUGGUUCAUUCAUCCAAUUAAAAAAAUAAAUAAAAUAGGGUAAUGAUUCACAUCUAUAUAUUUUUUUUUACUUGAGCCAAUGAAAAAUAAAGAACUAUUCUCAAGUUAAAAAAUAAAAUUGUGAAUCAUUACCCAAAAAUAUUUUAAUUGGAUGAAUGAAACCCUUUUUUCAGUGUGCUUCAGCAGGUGAUUUUUAAAUCAAAUUAAGUCAAUGUAAUUUUAAGGAAAAAGGAAAAUAAUCCUAUACAGAACUGACGUUUACUUCUGACUUUUCAAACGUGUAUGCAAGUUAUACUUUACAAAAAAAAACAUUUCAGUUUUGUCACAGUUUAAUCUGUGUCGUUUCUCAUCCAGCUCGCAAGAAGUUGAUCCUUCACUGUCUUCGCUUGUGCAGGGCACGGAAAGGUACGAUACGCUCGAGCAGCUUCAGUGAGCACAGGAAAGGCUUUUAUUUGUGCAGCAGUACACUAGCGGCUGUUCGCUUCCUGCUGUCUAUUCCUCAGAUGUGUAGCUCGUGUUGCCUGUGUCCAGCACACAGAUUUUGAAAUACUUCCACACAAAUGACAUGAUAGCGAAUGAUUACAAUGUAGUCUGUGCACGCGGGCGCACUUACGGAAAAAUCGGCCGAUCGUGUAUUUGAAGCAAAAACCGUCCGGUUCCGAUUUAUGGCCGGUCAACGGUGCAUCCCUAACAUUUAGUGAGGUACUUACAACAUGAGGCAUGGCUUUUGAUUUAUAGUUUUUUUUUAAGUUGGUAAAUUAGACUUAAUUAUUUGUUGUUUGUUUUGAUUUGUGUGGCAUUCCUUUUUUUAUAGAAAGAUUACCCAUUUUAAUAAUUGGCGAAUUUUACGUUUUUUGUUUAUUUGUUUUUAUGUCACAAAUUUAAGUCAUUAUUAAAGUACUUCUAAAACA
This is a long non-coding RNA of Carassius gibelio (silver crucian carp), 2534 nucleotides long. RefSeq lists it as uncharacterized. NCBI's taxonomy places the organism in Eukaryota, Metazoa, Chordata, Actinopteri, Cypriniformes, Cyprinidae. The record is from RefSeq and is a predicted model, not a curated record. The transcript is spliced from 7 exons.